CUGGGCCUGAUGGUGUUCCUGUAAAAGGCAGUAUAUAUGCAAAAAAUCGUAGUCAUGUCAGACAAUAUCUCCAUUGUAAGUCCCCCCUACAGUCUCCCUUUCCUAAUCCCACCUUUCCCUUUUACCCUAUGUCCUAUUACCCCCAGUAUAUAUGCAAAAAAUCGUAGUCAUGUUAGACAAUAUCUCCAUUGUAAGUCCCCCCUACAGUCUCCCUUUCCUAAUCCCACCUUUCCCUUUUACCCUAUGUCCUAUUACCCCCAGUGUAUUCCCAAUCUGCUUUUUUAUCCAUGGUUUCCCUCACAAAACCAUGCUUUUGCCAAUUGUUUCCCCAAAAAUCCCUUUCCAAUGCCGAGUGGGGGAUGAAAAGGGGGAGGGAAGAAAUUAAACCCUCUCCUGCCUCAGUUUCCCCACAAAGCAUGCUCAGAGAGUUCUGUCUCCCUUCUGUCAGUCCUAAGAUGUUCCACAGAAUCUGUUUGGACAUUUAAAGACUCAGGAGGGUGGCUUGUUUUGUUUUGAAACUGUUCUUGUUAUGUUUAUCCAGUUGUUUUCAUUCUCCUUUUAUUAAAAUAAAACGGGUGAGGUGUUGGGGUCUCCUCCCCUGCCGUGUAGCCCUGGGAGAGGGGCCCUGAGGGCACAGACACGGGGCUUCCCUGCCCCUGCUCAGCCUCGUUCCCAUGGGUUGGUUUGUGUUCCCUGCGCGGGCAGAAGGACCCUUGGUCCCGUGACUGGGACAGUUCCUCGGCAGAGCCCCGGCCAUGUGGCUGGAGAAAUAAACAUCUCUCUGGAACAGCUAUCAAGAAUCUGUCUGUCCAUAUAUAUUUCCUUUCCACGGGACUCCUGGUUUGAUAUAUGCAUGUUGCAGUAUCCCCACUGCAACAGACUAUAUGCACCUAUACAUGUAUUUACCUAGUCUGCUUCCACUCUAGUUCACAAGUGUGUUGACCCAGAAACCAGCCCAACUUCCUGGUAGUUAAAUUUGCAUUUAAGCAGUAAAUAGGACCUCCAAAUUUUAUUUUUUUCUUUUUUCAUUGAAACUUGAAAGCCACCUCAAGUAUCACUUUUCUGUCAUCUUUAUGCCAGGGACAGCCAUAGAACAGUCUCACUGACAUCAAAUUGCACCAGAAACAAUCACAGCCCACUAAAAUGUUACAACCUUUAUUCUUCCUUUUGAAGAAGGAAAAACAUGCCCUUAGGCAAAGAAGUUUAUAUAGCAGAAUUCAAUCCCAGACUUCAAACAGCUGAAUGGAGCUGCUGUAACAAGGGAUUAUAAUGAAACAGCUUCAGAGCCCUGGGCAAGGUGAGCGGAGGAGCAAGGGCUGCUCAAGGGAACUCAGAGCCUAAUGUUUCAUGUGACAUUUUUCCCAGCUUCAAAGCCAUAAACUAAAUUGCUGUGCUGAAACCACUAUGAAACAAAACAGUUUUUAAGAUCUGGCAUCUGUAUAACCGCACUUAAGAACACAAAAUUUUAACAAAUGUUUUCCUUAACCACUGUGUGGUCUGUUGGGACAGAAUUUCACAUAGAACCACAUAGAUGGCACAGAUCAAACUUCAUUCUUGGACUUGGUGAUUCAUGGCUGCUGGCACAAAAUAACAUCUCACAGGCUGAUUCCUAACCUAUUGCUUACUCCUCUUGUCCUUCAGGACAUGCAAUAUGCCAUAUUUCCUCAGGUGGCAUUUCAGAUACCACUCACCAUUGGAUGUCUGCAGCCCACCAUUUGAUGUCUGCAGCCCACCUCCGGAGUUUACUCCUCUCGGGGCAGGGACACAGAGAGAGCUGCUGUCAGGAAGAUCCAAACUACCCCUGUCCUGGCUGGAGUAGAGAGUGCAUGUCCUAUGCCACAGCCCCUGCAAUAACAGAAUCACAGAAUAAGACAAGUUGAAAGACAGAGCAGGGAAGACAGCUGCGGACAAUACACUCUUAAGCCACUUCAACAGCAGGCACUGCCAAGCUACAGGGUGUUUUCUGAGCCCACUUCCCCUAGAGGUUUAUUUUGAUGAGCCAAGAGUGGAAACAGG
Long non-coding RNA from Corvus moneduloides (New Caledonian crow), 2016 nucleotides. The record is from Ensembl. NCBI's taxonomy places the organism in Eukaryota, Metazoa, Chordata, Aves, Passeriformes, Corvidae.